Nerophis ophidion (straightnose pipefish) is the source of this 1907-nucleotide RNA transcript. It is a transcript of the gene named gastrula zinc finger protein XlCGF7.1-like, with no coding region annotated. NCBI's taxonomy places the organism in Eukaryota, Metazoa, Chordata, Actinopteri, Syngnathiformes, Syngnathidae. The transcript has 2 exons. The record is from RefSeq and is a predicted model, not a curated record.
CACAGUAAACGUCGUCAUUAAUUGUUUGUAUGCGGAUACAUUAGUCUGAGUGCACUUUGACGUGCUAGCCUAGCCUGCUGGUUAGCUUAGCUUGUUAGCUGCUAACAAAGAGAGGCGGAAGUGAUCGACACAUCAAAGCAGAGAUCCAAUACGUCUGUGAAGAACAUCUUCACCCUGAGCAACAGAAGUGGAGCUUCAGGAUGCAGACGGAGGAAACACAGCCCUCCCACAUUAAGAUGGAAGAGGAAUACACACUGAUGCCCCAUUUUAAAAAGGAAGAGGAGGACCCACUGACACCCCUUUUUAAAGAGGAAGAGGAGGACCCACUGACACCCCUUUUUAAAGAGAAAUCAGUGGACCCACUGAGUUCUCACAUUAAAGAGGAAGAGGAGGAACACCGCAUCAGUCAGCAGGGAGAGCAUCUUGAAGGACUGGAGGAGGUUGAUGUCACCAAGAUGCCAGUGACUGGUGUCCCUGUGAAGAGUGAAGAUGAUGAGGUGAAAGGUGAAAGUGAGGAGAGGGGAGGGGGGGAGCCUCCAAGCAGCAGCUCAACACAACACAUGACAACAGAAGCUGAUGGAGACCACUGUGGAGGAUCACAAGCAGACAAGCUCUUAGCUCCACUAUCAGAUAGUGAGGACACAACGUCACACUCUCCUGACACUGAUGAUGAAGACUCUAAAGAUGAUAAGACAUGUCACACUGACAACACUCACUUCACAUCUUCUCUCUGUCACAAAACUUUUAAAUAUCCUAGUUAUUUGAAAAGACGCAUGAGAACACACACCGGAGAAAAACCUUUUUCCUGCUCAGAAUGUGGUAAAUAUUUUACUCUAAGGAUCAAUUUGAAAGUACACAUGAGAAUACACACUGGAGAAAAACCUUUUUCCUGCUCAGAAUGUGGUAAAAGUUUCAUAACAAAUCAUACCUUAAAAGAACACAUGGGAACAUACAAUGGAGAAAGACCUUUUUUAUGUUCAAUCUGUGGUAAAGAUUUUACUCGAAGGCACUAUUUAAAAACACACAUGAGUACACACACUGGAGAAAAACCUUACACAUGUUCAGUAUGUUGUAAAAGUUUUAUACAAACUACGUAUUUGAAAAGACACAUGAGAACACACACAAGUGAGAAAGUGUUGAGUUGCAGUGUGUGUGGUGAAAGAUUGUCUUCUAAGUAGCAGUGUAAGAAACACAAGUGUGCUGGUGAGAACAGCAGCAGCAAAUGAAACUGCAGGAUUUGAAAUAAACUGUCAAAUCUUUAACUUUGACCUUCUAACAACACCAGCACAUAGAUGCUAACAUUAAUAGAUUUGAUGUAUCAGUUAAUUGCUAUUUUCAGUCAAGUACAUGUUUAAUAUACAACAUGGUGUACUUUUAUUUAAAAAUGAACACAACACUUUGACUGCAAAGGUGAGAAUAAACAGGACAAAUCCUGUUAGAAAUACUUGUGUAUAGAUAUAUUCAGAUAUCAUUUUUAAUUAUUAAUGAUGUUAUAGAUGAACUCCUUUAUAUGAUGUACAUAUUUGUUUUACAUGUGUUCAUACCUUUGCUUUUGAGUACACAUAAAUCCCUCUUAGUUCAUAUUUACUGAUUCGCAUCUGAAACAUCUUCUGGACCACUUCUGGAAGCAUAUUAUUAUUUACUUUAUACAUCAUUUCAGCAGUUGUCUUUUAUACAAGAUCAUUUACUUUUAAAAUGUGUGACUUUAUGAAUCAUUUGUUGGGUCUCAAUAAUCAAUUUUUUUAAUUAAUCUGUAUUACUUUCUUUUGUAAUAUGAAUAUUGUUUUAUAUGUAUGUUCCCUUCAUGCAAUAAGUAGAUUUGAGAAAAUGGCAACAAAUGUUGAAGGUUAUGAAGGAUAAUUUAGUUUUUAAUAAUGUAGAUUUCUUAUUAAAAAACUACACAUGAC